CGGGGGAACACUGAACUGUACCGCUUGUCUCCAACAGUGGGCGCUUUAACCACCAACAAAAUGAAGAUGUCUUGAGACUGUGGAUAUCAUAGUUUCCAAAGAAGAGGAAACAAUACCGUUUAUUUCCACCGGGUGGCGCUAUAACUACAGUUGAAAAAUUCUCAUGGAUUUAGGUGUGGAUGUUGAUAGUGUGCAUGGAAUGUUCUUCCUUGAGCUGCGGCACCCCGCUGUAGUCUGUAAUGGACUGGCCCGAAGGUCUUUGUACAAACAAGCGGCUACUGGAAGAGAGUAGGUGAGUUGUGUUUAGUCUCUUUGCUAAAGAAAUGAGUCAAAGUUAAAAAGAUGUUUGGUGUCUAGUACUAUGUCUGUGACCCUGUAUGUCCUGUUGAUGAAGUUAGGUGCUGUUCUGAGCAUUAUUUGUGGCUAUAGAGUGGCGUUUUGGUUGAGGGCGUGCUGCCAAAUCGAACCCAGCUUCUUCUACGUGUCAGUCGAGUCCGUUCUCCUCUUUGGUAGUGGAUGCUGGACCAUGAAGCCAACCCUGGAGAAAUCCCUUCGAUCACGCCAAAUACGUGAUUCACAAAGACAUGAAAAUUCCCUAACGAGGUCCUUUCUCUGUAACGUGCGCCUGGACCUGAAUUAGCGUUCAUCCUAAAGCCGUCGGUGAAUCAUAUGAUCUCCACAUAAAGAGUUUGGACAUCUCAUAUUGGUGACCAAGCCUUUCCUCGUUGUGUGCCGUCGCUGUCAGCUCGUCGAGUCCAGAGAGCGACAGACUGAGUGAUGAGGUCUGCCUCCUCGGAGCGGCCCCGUGGCUGACGAGCCAAACACUUCCUCAGCCAGAGUAAUGGAGCAGAAACAGAUCAGACAGGCUGGUGUUGUUCUGCCAACCAUGAUCCAUUUAACACACAACAUUCAGCCUCAGGACGUGAUUUGUGCGCUGAAAAUAUCCUCUCUGUGGUUUCGACUCUUUUCUCUCUCCCAGGAUCAGAGCGCGGUUCUCAAAGUUAAGGGAGAUGAGGAGCUCGUAAAAACACACGGCGCCGCCGUGGUGAUUACAACGAAUGCAAAUCAGUGAAUAAAUUGUCUUCAUGUUUUGAAUCUCAACCCUCGUCUUAUCGUUAAUAUAUUUACGAUCCUUUUGAUGAUGUCUUCAUGCUGCGGGAGGCUGAAAUUAGGCUCCCAGCUGGAUGUUCCCUGCAGAUAUCUCGGCCCAGUAAAGCCUUCAGUCCAACAUCAGCAGGAUGACGGAGCUGCACCAGAAAAAAGGUCCGACUUGACUCUGUUACCUGCUUUGAUUAUGAGGCAGAAGUGGAUUUAACCGCACAGAGAAUGAGGUCUCAUUUUGAAGAAAUAAUCCCCGCUCUGUCUGUUAGCCUCCCUCGGACCUGUUGCUCUUAUCGCCUGUUGAAUCCGGCGGCGUGUCAGCAGGAGUGAUGAGGUGCUUCCCCUCUGAGCGGCCCCGCGGUGACUCAGACAAACAGCUCGAAAAGCAGCGAAAUGAGCCUGAAGCAGGUAGGAUGAAGAGGAGAAGUCGGUGAAGUGGAUUUCUCCGUCUGAAAGCAGCAGGGCGCCGCCGUUUCAUUACACAGGAUUACUCUGGGCAUCGCCGCCAAAAAUAGACCCCAUGGCGUGGACAGUGUAAUUGAGACGAGGGGUUAAGAUAUUACAGAGGUCGCUUAAUCCUGAUCAUUCUCUCUCGCCAGCGCUCAGAAGAUUAAACUUCAGCACACUCUGCAAAGACGAGGGACAUUUUUGUCCUUCUUUUAGUGACCUCUUCUGUUUUCAGUGUUUUUAAUAAGACUGUCCAAAACCUCCUGAAGGGUUUAUUCUCACCCCUAAACCUCAUAUAUGAGCUCACGGUCCGGUUGGACUCUGAAGGGGGGUUUUGAUUAAGACUUCCAGGGUCGAGAACUUUUUCUUUUUUAUUGUAUUCUAUGGGAGUUAAUUGUAAAACUUCAAUAAUGUAACACUGAACCAAAAGAAGACCAAGAUGCAAACUCACAGGCGGGCAAAAUCAAAGUCUGUUUAAUCAAAAAGAGUUGGUGAACUAAAGACAAGACGAGCUGGCACAGAGAGGAGGGAAAGCUGGGUUUAAAUCCACCAGUGCAGCGGAGUUAACGAGACACAGGUGAGACUCAUCAGGGUCGUCAGGGGAGCAGGUGACACAAGGAGAGGGAAGUCAUCGAACCUGAAACAAGAGACAAAGGUGAGUAUAAAAAUAAACAGGAAACACAAGACGAGAAACGUGAGGGAUGGAAAAAAAAACAACUUAAAGGGAUAAUCUGGGGUAAAAUUAAUUUAGGGUCAAACACAACGUAACACCGAGUUAGACCCCCCCCCCCCCCCCAUGAGAGAUGAAUGUUGCCGACAUUCCACUCUAUAGCCACAAAUAAAGCAAAGAGACUAAACACAACUCACCUACUCUCUUCCAAUAGAUUGUUUCUACGAAGACCUCCAGGCAGGUGCAUCGACCGAUCAUUUCUUUAUCAUUUUCCAUGAAGAAAUGAUCAUAAAUGUUCUUCCUUGAGCUGCGGCAUCCCGCUGUAGUCCAUAAUGGACUGGCCUGAGGUCUCUCUACAAACAAGCGUCUGCUGGAAGAGAGUAGGUGAGUUGUGUUUAGUCUCUUUGCUAAAGAAAUGAGUCAAAGUUAAAAAGAUGUUUGGUGUCUAGUACUAUGGCUGUGACCCUAUAUGUACUAACCUCAGUAGAACAUGGUGUAGUUCCGUUCAGUAACAGAACCUCAUUGGAAAAUUAUCUGAUUUAACUUUACUGUGCUCUUGUUCAAAUAUAUUAACUCGACAGCACAUAAAUUCAUAUCUGUUCACAAAAUCAUGAUUUUAUUGAUAAUUCGGCUCAAUAAAAACACCUUUACCUUUUCAUUUUACUACAGUAGAAGUUUAUUGGCCCAGCUUAUAGACUACAGAAGUGAAGAAACGCCCCCGCUUAAGUUUGUUUUCUUAGGAGUUAGAAAAACUCUGAAUAUAGUACUAUGUCUGUGACCCUAUAUGUCCUGUUGAUGAAGUUAGGUGCUGUUCUGAGCAUUAUUUGUGGCUAUAGAGUGGCGUUUUGGUUGAGGGCGUGGCUCUCUGUAUUUCUAUCCUGCGGUCGUUACUAAAGUUGGUAUAACUAGAGAAGCAAGCGGUCGACAACAUUCAUCUCUUGAGGGGGGGUCUAACUCUGUGUUACAGAAUCACGGAGUCGCGUGUAGUUAUUUUUGAGUUUUUCAGGUCGGAUUGAGUGUCUUUUAUGCUAACUCAGUAAGUCCACGCAACACAAAAUCGAAAUUUCCAAAAAAAACAGCUGACAUUUGAAGGAUUUGAUCAACUCCCCCA
Xyrichtys novacula (pearly razorfish) is the source of this 3329-nucleotide non-coding RNA. The record is from the annotation of a GenBank genome assembly. Lineage: Eukaryota; Metazoa; Chordata; Actinopteri; Labriformes; Labridae.